RNAcentral lists this ribosomal RNA (253 nucleotides) under uncultured bacterium. Its description in RNAcentral is "partial 16S ribosomal RNA". It matches the Rfam family "Bacterial small subunit ribosomal RNA", at positions 524 to 776 of the family's 1533-position model. The record is from RNAcentral.
UACGAAGGGGGCUAGCGUUGUUCGGAAUUACUGGGCGUAAAGCGCACGUAGGCGGACUACUAAGUCAGGGGUGAAAUCCUGGAGCUCAACUCCAGAACUGCCUUUGAUACUGAGGGGCUCGAGUCCGGGAGAGGUGAGUGGAACUGCGAGUGUAGAGGUGAAAUUCGUAGAUAUUCGCAAGAACACCAGUGGCGAAGGCGGCUCACUGGCCCGGUACUGACGCUGAGGUGCGAAAGCGUGGGGAGCAAACAGG